Zingiber officinale is the source of this 969-nucleotide long non-coding RNA. RefSeq lists it as uncharacterized. The transcript is spliced from 3 exons. The record is from RefSeq and is a predicted model, not a curated record. NCBI's taxonomy places the organism in Eukaryota, Viridiplantae, Streptophyta, Magnoliopsida, Zingiberales, Zingiberaceae.
CCUAGAAAAUACUGACACCUACUUCUUUGUUUCUGCCGAAAUCGCUCAUCGCCUAUUCCCAAAUCGCGUUGCCUCUUCUUCCUCUCCACCUUACGAUCUCCGACCAGCCUCAUCAUUGGGCUCUGAGAUCCGGCUAGGUGCCACCUCAUGCGGGUGACUCUCUGGGGAUGACGCGAACAGACGCCGAACCCCGCAACCUUCUCAAUUGACGGCACUACUUUCGGAGGAACGAGGAAGAAAAGGAAAGUACUUCUAUUAUAUGGGCAUGGCUUCUGUGAGGUGAGGAUGUCUCCUAGGAAAUGACGGAAGGCCUACGGACGGAGUAGAUGAGAAGACGGAAUGGACGCGUGACAUUGUCCGGGCAUUUUAGGAGUGCACAGCUUACUUGUCCUAUUGUGAGAGGUUCUUAUGUUUGAGGAUUCAUUGACUCUUUCUAUUAAACUCUUGUUUGAGAAGCUAUCAUUACAUGGAAUAAGCUAGAUCAUUUCGAUAGAAUUGUAUUACGGUUAUCUACAUUGCAGAUGUUGAGAGUGUUUGUAAAAAAAAAAAAAAAAAAAUCUGAGGGGUAACUUGGGGAUGUUUCAGUUGCUAUCAGAGCAGACACUCCUAAAGGAUAGUGUGCGCACGCCAUCUCGCCAAGAACUCGGCUACUCCUGCCUUCAGACUCAUGAUGCCUACGUUACAAGUGAAGAUGUCUCCCAGGAAAUGACAGAAGGCCUACGGACGAAGUAGACAAGAAGACGGAAUGGACGCGUGACACUGUCCGGGCAUUUUAGGAGUGCAAAGCUUACUUGUCCUAUUGUGAGUUGUUCUUAUGUUUGAGGAUUCAUUGACUCUUUCUAUUAAACUCUUGUUUGAGAAGCUAUUAUUACAUGGAAUAAGCUAUAUCAUUUCAAUAGAAUUGUAUUACGGUUAUCUACAUUGCAGAUGUCGAGAGUGUUUGUAAAAAAAAAACAUUGAGGGGUAACU